This 441-nucleotide ribosomal RNA is filed under the name uncultured bacterium. RNAcentral describes it as "bacterial SSU rRNA". It matches the Rfam family "Bacterial small subunit ribosomal RNA", at positions 339 to 796 of the family's 1533-position model. The record is from RNAcentral.
CUACGGGAGGCAGCAGUGAGGAAUAUUGGGCAAUGGGGGAAACCCUGACCCAGCAAUGCCGCGUGCGGGAUGACGGCCUUCGUGGUUGUAAACCGCUUUCAGUAGGGACGAAAAUGACGGUACCUGCAGAAGAAGUCCCGGCUAACUACGUGCCAGCAGCCGCGGUAAUACGUAGGUGGCGAACGUUAUCCGGAAUCACUGGGCGUAAAGGGUCCGCAGGUGGCAUGUCAAGUCGAUUGUGAAAGCUCCCGGCUCAACUGGGAGAGGACGGUCGAAACUGGCAAACUAGAGUCCGACAGAGGUCGGCGGAAUUCCCGGUGUAGUGGUGGAAUGCGUAGAUAUCGGGAGGAACGCCAAAAGCGAAAGCAGCCGGCUGGGUCGAGACUGACACUGAGGGACGAAAGCGUGGGUAGCGAACAGGAUUAGAAACCCGUGUAGUCC